Molecule: long non-coding RNA, 2498 nt
Filed under: Calidris pugnax (ruff)
Lineage: Eukaryota; Metazoa; Chordata; Aves; Charadriiformes; Scolopacidae
Description: lncRNA (ENSCPUG00000015802.1)
Source: RNAcentral
AUUGGAUCACGCCUUCCACUACUGUAGAUGGACAGAAGUCAUCAUAUUCUGCACAGUCUCUCAAUAGCAUUUGAGAGUUAAUAUGCACCACUCAAAUUUAGUAGGAUUCAUCAGAGCAAUGGCUUAAUCCUAAAAUUUUAUUUUGUGUUUUAAUUGUCAAAUAUCCAUUGGAUUCAGGGAGAAUUUGUCUGGAUAAAGUCUAAGACUGGAAAAACAACGGGUAACGUCCAGGAUUAGAGACAAAAAAUGUUUGUAAGUUGAUUGUUUAUCAAGCUUUUCAAUGUCAAGCUUUGUUGACAUUGUUUGCUGUUGUUGUUUUUUUUUAAAGUUAUUGUAGUCAGUGAACAGUCCUUGGACAAUGAAAAAAUGCAAAUCCCUCCAGAGAUCCAGAUUAUUUUUGAAGGAGAAAACCAAAAACUUUUCCAGCUCUUUUUCUUAAAGCAUAAUCUGUUCCAACACAAAGAUGUCUUCAAGAGCUACUAAUAUAGGUUUGGUAAAAACAUUUCAAGUCCAGGACAAAAGAUACUGGAGACUGGAGUACAACUUUUGGUACACGCUGGAAAAGCAUACAGGAAUUCCAUAUUCUGCUUCAGUGUCAGUGUGAAGGGAUUGCUUUAGUAGUUCCUCAAUUUUAGAGACUCAAUUCUGUAUUUGACUUCUGAAGAUAACGAGAUACCUUUGUUGUUAUUAUAGUGAUACUUGUAAUUUAAGAAUUUCUUGAUUUUUCAAAACAGAAAAACCCAACCCUGACAGUGCCUUUCCAUUCUUUUAAGGAAUUCUUGAUUCUCUACAUAUGUAGUUUAAAUUUCUAGAAGAUGAAAAAAAAUAGCAAGAGAGGUAAAUUUUUACCUCUGUUUAGUUCUUUGUGUUUUGAGGAUUAUGCUCAGAGAAGAGGGUCUCCGUGCUAUUGCCAAAGGUAUGAUCAUGUAGAAUAUGACAGAACGAAGCAUUAAUACCAUAUCUUGCCAUACAAGAAUGACAAAUGCUGAUCUUAGAAAAAGCUUUUAAAAGCUUUUUAUCUCUGUUAUGCUGAGAUACUUGCUCAAUUGAAGAGGCACAAUCCUAGAAGUUAGUGAUUUUCAGAGUCUCAUCUGUGACCAAGGAGCCUGAAUUCUACUCCUGUUGUGUUUCUGUUGACGCCACUGAGAACAGACUGGGGUCCAAGAAGCCGUAACUAAGAAGGAAGGAAAUGGAAAUGACCUUACAGGACGACUCUGAAUAUUGGACAUUAUUGUGGACUAUUUCUGCACAGUUUUGAUGAUAAACGUUGUCCUGCAUGAAGCAAAAUAGUAAUAACUCAAUCUGAUGGACACAAUUAGUUGUCUUUGUACCUGGUGUGUGUGUGUGUGUUUAUAACAACCACUGUUACUUGUUUAUUACUGUGAUACUUCUAAUGUUAAUUACUAUUAAUUAUUAGUUUAAACAGUACUUCAUCCCAAAAAGGUGUGUAAAAGUGUACAUCAAUCUUAAGCCUGAAAGCAUUGAUGCAAAGAUUCUGAAUUUCCUCCCUCUAUCAUAGAAAGAUAAAAUUUAAGACUUUUAAAAUUCAGGCCAUCACUCGGUUCUGGGCUGUUCUUUCACAACUCAGUAUCACUUAGCUUUUUUUUUUUUCUUUCCUUAAAUGGAUAUUACCUUUACUGCUUUAUGAAAUGUUUACAACAAUGCAAAUCUCACAAAGUACCUCCAAAUUGAAGACACCAAAGCCAAGGUCAUGGUUCUUGCUGAAAAUAGGUAAGAUUUGAUUCUGGCAAAGUUUCAUCUUCAAUUUGUUUAAACGCAACUCCCCAGGCAAAAAUUAUAGUGGCACAGUUUAUAAAGAGCAAAACCUAAAAGACAUGUUCAUUACGAGUAGGUGUAUAAUUUUACAUAUCUGUUUAUAUGUCUUCAUAAUGAUAGUGUCUAAACUCCAACAGUUAUAGCAGUUGAUUCUCAAGAUCUUUAAUCAGAGGCAGUUAUGGCUGCCAUGGUUUGUGUCUCCAGUCCUGAAAAUACUUGGAGGUGGAUACCUGGCGCUACUGCAGAUGAUUACGAGCUUUCAGUGUAGUUUUGAUGCUAUAGAUAUAAAAUUUAAGCUUUAUCUAAUUUUUGGACUGCUAAAAUCAGAAGCAACUUUUUAAAAAAAACAAACACCAAAAACAAAACAAAAAACCCAAACCAACAAAAUCCUAACUGUACAUGUGUCACUGAAGGUACUAUGGCUUAAGAUCAGAAAAUAACAAGAAUAAGAGAAUUAAGGUACUUGUCUCUGACUUGCAUAAACGUUCAGAUGAUGUUUUCAUUUUUUGUACUUUUGAAAUGCUCAUGUGGUAAUAUAAAGGCUAUAAAUCAUUCUUGUGAGCCAAAAUAUCAUUUGCUACUGUCAGAAGACAACUUAACAGUAUUACAACUCUGGUGAGAUUUGAAUGUGUUCCGCGUUCAAUUUUUUUAAUAAGAACUGUAAAUAACAGACCCUUUUGGAGCAUAAUAAAUGAUCCCUUCCAAAGUCUAAUGAUAGGUUA